RNAcentral lists this ribosomal RNA (395 nucleotides) under Salmonella enterica subsp. salamae. RNAcentral's name for it is "bacterial SSU rRNA". It matches the Rfam family "Bacterial small subunit ribosomal RNA", at positions 1035 to 1430 of the family's 1533-position model. The record is from RNAcentral. Lineage: Bacteria; Pseudomonadati; Pseudomonadota; Gammaproteobacteria; Enterobacterales; Enterobacteriaceae.
CAGGUGCUGCAUGGCUGUCGUCAGCUCGUGUUGUGAAAUGUUGGGUUAAGUCCCGCAACGAGCGCAACCCUUAUCCUUUGUUGCCAGCGAUUAGGUCGGGAACUCAAAGGAGACUGCCAGUGAUAAACUGGAGGAAGGUGGGGAUGACGUCAAGUCAUCAUGGCCCUUACGACCAGGGCUACACACGUGCUACAAUGGCGCAUACAAAGAGAAGCGACCUCGCGAGAGCAAGCGGACCUCAUAAAGUGCGUCGUAGUCCGGAUUGGAGUCUGCAACUCGACUCCAUGAAGUCGGAAUCGCUAGUAAUCGUGGAUCAGAAUGCCACGGUGAAUACGUUCCCGGGCCUUGUACACACCGCCCGUCACACCAUGGGAGUGGGUUGCAAAAGAAGUAGG